GUCUGUUUCCCUACCUAGAAAAUAAACUCCCUGUGGCAGAAGUUUUAUCUCUCUGCUCCCUUCUUGGUUCCCAGCUCUUGGAACAGAACCAGACUUCUGGCCGGGGCUCAGUCAGUGCUUGCAAGAUGUUUGUUGGCACCAGGCUGUGCCAGGAGAGCAUCAUUAUAAACUGCUGAUCUACUGUUUCUUUGUCAAACGGGAGGAGAUAACAUAAAGGUCAUAAGAAAUGUUUGCAGACGGAGUGAAUGCCUUGAAAGUGCUGCGACCAGGUGCUGACACCCGGAGGUCUGGCUGCUCGAAGUGUUAGCUGACACGGAAGACACACGGACUUUCCCUCCAUUCCCCAAAACUCCCCCUCCCUGACUCGUCAGCUGCAUAAAAACCCUCUCCUUAUCUCUUUGUCAAGGGGAUUUGAGAAAUCUUGCUGUCUUGUCUUCUUGCUUUGGCCAAAUGGAAUAAACCUUUCUCUGUCUCCAGACACCUGUG
RNAcentral lists this long non-coding RNA (486 nucleotides) under Pan troglodytes (chimpanzee). RNAcentral describes it as "long non-coding RNA NONPTRT010711". Lineage: Eukaryota; Metazoa; Chordata; Mammalia; Primates; Hominidae. The record is from RNAcentral.